This 497-nucleotide ribosomal RNA is filed under the name uncultured bacterium. Its description in RNAcentral is "partial 16S ribosomal RNA". It matches the Rfam family "Bacterial small subunit ribosomal RNA", at positions 28 to 507 of the family's 1533-position model. The record is from RNAcentral.
GAUGGACGCUGGCGGCGUGCCUAAUACAUGCAAGUCGAGCGAACAGAUGAGGAGCUUGCUCCUCUGACGUUAGCGGCGGACGGGUGAGUAACACGUGGAUAACCUCCCUAUAAGACUGGGAUAACUUCGGGAAACCGGAGCUAAUACCGGAUAAUAUAUUGAACCGCAUGGUUCAAUAGUGAAAGACGGUUUUGCUGUCACUUAUAGAUUGAUCCGCGCCGCAUUAGCUAGUUGGUAAGGUAACGGCUUACCAAGGCAACGAUGCGUAGCCGACCUGAGAGGGUGAUCGGCCACACUGGAACUGAGACACGGUCCAGACUCCUACGGGAGGCAGCAGUAGGGAAUCUUCCGCAAUGGGCGAAAGCCUGACGGAGCAACGCCGCGUGAGUGAUGAAGGUCUUCGGAUCGUAAAACUCUGUUAUGAGGGAAGAACAAAUGUGUAAGUAACUAUGCACGUCUUGACGGUACCUAAUCAGAAAGCCACGGCUAACUACGUG